RNAcentral lists this ribosomal RNA (497 nucleotides) under uncultured bacterium. RNAcentral describes it as "partial 16S ribosomal RNA". It matches the Rfam family "Bacterial small subunit ribosomal RNA", at positions 28 to 507 of the family's 1533-position model. The record is from RNAcentral.
GAUGAACGCUGGCGGCGUGCCUAAUACAUGCAAGUCGAGCGAACAGACGAGGAGCUUGCUCCUCUGACGUUAGCGGCGGACGGGUGAGUAACACGUGGAUAACCUACCUAUAAGACUGGGAUAACUUCGGGAAACCGGAGCUAAUACCGGAUAAUAUAUUGAACCGCAUGGUUCAAUAGUGAAAGACGGUUUUGCUGUCACUUAUAGAUGGAUCCGCGCCGCAUUAGCUAGUUGGUAAGGUAACGGCUUACCAAGGCAACGAUGCGUAGCCGACCUGAGAGGAUGAUCAGCCACACUGGAACUGAGACACGGUCCAGACUCCUACGGGAGGCAGCAGUGGGGAAUCUUCCGCAAUGGGCGAAAGCCUGACGGAGCAACGCCGCGUGAGUGAUGAAGGUCUUCGGAUCGUAAAACUCUGUUACUAGGGAAGAACAAAUGUGUGAGUAACUAUGCACGUCUUGACGGUACCUAAUCAAAAAGCCACGGCUAACUACGUG